UUCCGGGUCGUUACAGAUUGGUAUCAGAGCAUAGGGCCUCUAGAGUACGAUGUGCUGAGUCAGUAUACUCAGGGAUCAGAGAUAUCUCACAUCGGAAAGAGGUUAAGAUGUCAGAGUUUUAGAUCUUUCGAGUACGGUGUGUUGAGCGAAGAUGCUCAAGGUCAGAUUUCCACAUCGGAAAGAGGUGUUGUCUUGUAUAGGAGGGGAAGCACAAUAGGU
This 219-nucleotide long non-coding RNA is filed under the name Manihot esculenta (cassava). RNAcentral's name for it is "long non-coding RNA (MESC_LNC004498)". The record is from RNAcentral. Lineage: Eukaryota; Viridiplantae; Streptophyta; Magnoliopsida; Malpighiales; Euphorbiaceae.